GAUGAACGCUGGCGGCGUGCCUAAUACAUGCCAGUCGAGCGAACGGACGAGAAGCUUGCUUUUCUGAUGUUAGCGGCGGACGGGUGAGUAACACGUGGAUAACCUACCUAUAAGACUGGGAUAACUUCGGGAAACCGGAGCUAAUACCGGAUAAUAUUUUGAACCGCAUGGUUCAAAGGUGAAAGACGGUCUUGCUGUCACUUAUAGAUGGAUCCGCGCUGCAUUAGCUAGUUGGUAAGGUAACGGCUUACCAAGGCAACGAUGCAUAGCCGACCUGAGAGGGUGAUCGGCUACACUGGAACUGAGACACGGUCCAGACUCCUACGGGAGGCAGCAGUAGGGAAUCUUCCGCAAUGGGCGAAGGCCUGACGGAGCAACGCCGCGUGAGUGAUGAAGGUCUUCGGAUCGUAAAACUCUGUUAUUAGGGAAGAACAUAUGUGUAAGUAACUGUGCACAUCUUGACGGUACCUAAUCAGAAAGCCACGGCUAACUACGUG
RNAcentral lists this ribosomal RNA (497 nucleotides) under uncultured bacterium. Its description in RNAcentral is "partial 16S ribosomal RNA". It matches the Rfam family "Bacterial small subunit ribosomal RNA", at positions 28 to 507 of the family's 1533-position model. The record is from RNAcentral.